AAGCAGUUUUGUCGUGUAGCACGACGCGUACCUCAUGAUUAUCCACACUGUGACUCACUAAUGUUUUACUUAGGCACGCGAGAGUUCCAAAGCUCGCAGGGUGCAGUUUUGCGAAUGUGCGUGAGUCGUCUGCUAGACAGUCUAAAUAACUGAAUCAUGGGAAAUGAUUUCUGUGAAAAAUAAAACUGAAAUCUUCCAACAAUGACUGAGGCUUGAAAUUGGAUUGUCCUUAAAAUACAUCAUCAUGGGAAAAAGAGAUGGACUUCAGCAACUGCAUAUUCUUUUUGUUAUUGCUUGUCACUGGGCAAUGUCUAUUACACUUGUAUUUGUCAACAAACAUAUGGUUAGCAGCAGCACUUUAGGUCAUGAUCUCACUGUUGUCAUCGCAUGGUCUCAGAGUUUUGUCUCAGUCUUGGCUAUUCUCAUCGGAGCAUCAGUCCAGAUGCUGCUGGACCCAUCAGCACGCUGGAUAGCAUCAAGCCCAUCCCUGCUGUUGAACAGUGAUGUCCUUGCUAUGUCUUUUGCCUUUGUUGCAGUUCUUGUUCUGAAUAAUCUGUUACUGAAGCACAUUGGUGUGGCAUUUUACCAAGUUGCACGGUCUUCCACUCUUGUGUUUUCUGUAAUGUUUUCAAGACUUUUUCUGCAUGUUCCUAUAACCGGCAAAAUUGGAUUUUCUUGCUUUCUUAUCAUAUGUGGGUUUUUAAUAAGUGCAGAUGAAGAAAGAGCACUCAACAGUAUAACUUUUGCUGGAAUUACCUAUGGUGUCCUAGCUAGCAUGGUGGCUGCACUUUGUGGUAUUUACUGCAAGAGGGUGGACAAAGUUGUGGAUGGUGACUCCUUGAAAAUAGCACUUUUAAACAAUGGUAGCAGCAUAAUACUGCUUUUCCCUCUCAUUUUUAGUACUGGUCAGUUUCACACAGCUUGGAUGACAGGGCAGCUGUGGAAGGUAACGUUGUGGUGGCAACUGAUAGUUACUGGGGUCAUUAGCAUGAUGGUCGGAUGGACUAGCAACAAGGUAAUUAGCUUGACAUCCCCUGUGACACACAAUGUGAGCAUCAAUGCCAAAUCACUCCUGCAGACAAUACUGGCUGUGAUUUUCCAUGAAGAAAAAAAAACAUUCCUUUGGUGGGUAGGAAAUCUCCUUGUGAUGCUUGGCAUAAUGUUGUAUGCUACAAAUAAAUCUUCAACAUCCAAUGAAAUAAUCAUAACAAUACCUGAAAAAAAAGAAACAAGGUGACAAGGACAUUUGGAUGAUCAAAACUGUCUUCUGUUGAUGUUUCUUAAAGAAGGAUUGGAAGAAUAUUUGAAAUGUUUGUAAUGAAAAUUUUGUAAUUGAGAUCAUCCUUUAUAGGGAUUAGAGCAUAUGUGCAUUAAUUUUUAUACUUUUGCAUAUAAUGUAUAUCUGUAUUCAUUGUAUCACUAUAAAAAAAAACUAGCUACAAUGAAAAUAGGCAGAACUGUUACAGCUUAUUAAAGCUGCAUGAAGAGCUUUUGAAAGCAUACAUUGCUGGAGAACCUUCUUGGUUUUAUCUUAUACAUCACUGAUGCCUGCAGUUACCAUCAUGGCUUCUGUGUGUAUGAUCUCCAAAGGCACUGCAAAUAUAAGAGUAACUCUUGUUAUCCUAAUAUUCCUGAAGAUACCUAUCAUCAGAUGUAAAGCUUCCUAGGAUUUGCGGGUUCAAACACAAACAGACCCUGGAGGUAAGAAUUAAAAGGAAUAUGAUCCUUGUUCAUUCCAAGUAUAUUCUAUAACUAUGGCCUUUACUGUUUGGUUUUUUAAAAACUGUAAUCAGCUUUCCUUUUGCAUGAUGUGGUAGAGCUGUAGUUUUAUAUAGCCUUUGUGUUCUGAACAGGUACAUUUUAAAAGUUUAAAACUCAGACAUACUGACAAGUGACAAUACAUUCUUGUAUAAAUAGGGUUAAUUUUAUUGAUGCUUUUUUCAUUUUGGUAGCUCAUUAGAGAUCUCGUGUUGCACUUAAUACUAUACAUUACAUAAUUCAAGGAUAAUCUGUGUGCAAACACUUUCUUACAACUGAAUCUAGUGAAUUACAAUGAUAAAAUUUUAAUUUCAACCGUCGUCGUAAGUUUAUUUCGUUUGUGAGUUAAAAUCUUUUAUCCCAGUUCCUGCAACAUCACUUGAUAGUGUUGUGGCAAUAUUAACAUGGGCUUCAACCCUCUCCCUGUGACAACAAGCAGCUAACAUGUUUAUUUCAUAUGGUCAGCCUUUGUGUGCUUUAACACAAAGAAGACACCUCUAAGCUAUGACUACACGCACAAAAUAGAAUGCUCACUCUUUCUGACAGGUAGGAUAACUGAAGCUAUAAAAAAGUAUUUAAAAACUUUGACAACUUGUCUUUUAACCAGUCAUCAAGUUUCAGCUUAGCUCUAAGUUACAGUUAGAACACAAUUUACCAAUUUAAUUAUUGAGCUCAUUUUUUUAUCUAUAUGUAUAUAUUGAACUGUACAUUGUGUAGUAACCCAAUUUACCUUACAGUGGGGAGAACACGACAGAAAAGGCAGUCCACAGGGCUCUAUAUCUCGAUACGCUGUACCUGUAUGUCGAACGAACCGUUACCGAAACUCGUUCAUUCCGCGUGCCAUUCACUUCUUCAAUUCCACUAGCUGUGAUGAUGUGUCAGCCUGAGGUGACCUUGUGCGGGGUGCCAACUGAACCUCCUGUUGCUGUGUUACUAUAUGAGUGGGUGUGUGCGCACAUGUGUGUGUAUGUUGCCAGAAUCUAUUCCCUUUAAUCUCCUACAUAUAAUCUUCACUUUAGUGUGCUGGCGUGUCAUCAUACCUGUAAUUGCCCUUGCGGAUUAAUAAAAUUGUAUUGUAUUGCAUUGUAUUGUAUAUCCAUUUCUCCCUGCUGUUGUCACAAAUUUUAAGGGUUAACUUGCAAGGUUUGCCUGUGUUCUGUUUUGCGAUUUUAUAAAUUUAGCUCCACAAUUCAUUUGCAUGCACACAUUUGCCAAGUCUUUGAUAUGCAGCUGCAUCCAUGACAUUACAAAUUCUUACCCUCAUCCUUGUGAUAAAACAGAUCUUUAAAACAUUUUAUGGUCUUUAUAAAGUAUUUCAUUUGCUUAACAUUUUGUGAAACAAUGAAGUUGUAUUUUUUUCUAAUAAUUCUCACACCAAGAUUAAAUUCAGUAAGUGUUGAGAUUUGUUUGGGAUUUUAGAAAAUAGAUAUUUAGCUGAAGAAAGUGAGUUGACAACAUUUUCAGAUUACAGUAAUACAUUAUGCUGGUACAUUAGAUGAACAAUUCGUCAAGUGGAUUAUUACCUUAAGUAAUUGAAAGUGCAUUUGUAUAUAGAGCCUUUUUCAUUUUGUCAAUUCAUUUUGGGCAAAUACAAGAUCUGAAGAAAUACUCUAAAUGCUUGUACAUCAUAUUCUCCAUCUUUUAUGCUGGGUUUUUUUCGCUCCUUAAAUGUGUGAAAUAAUAAAGUAUCUAACCCAGCUAGUUGUGUUAUAAUUGUUGGUAAAUAUAUGUAAGGAAUGCAGGAUAUUUAAAAUGCCUCUAAAGAUUGUGUAUAUUCUUGACCGUUAAAAAAUUGUCAUCAAAA
This 3562-nucleotide unclassified non-coding RNA is filed under the name Pomacea canaliculata. RNAcentral describes it as "gDP-fucose transporter-like, transcript variant X7". Lineage: Eukaryota; Metazoa; Mollusca; Gastropoda; Architaenioglossa; Ampullariidae. The record is from RNAcentral.